This is an RNA transcript of Polypterus senegalus (gray bichir), 7718 nucleotides long. It is a transcript of the gene named centriolin, with no coding region annotated. The record is from RefSeq and is a predicted model, not a curated record. The transcript is spliced from 46 exons. Lineage: Eukaryota; Metazoa; Chordata; Cladistia; Polypteriformes; Polypteridae.
CUGCUCUGAGCGUCGCUCCCGUUGCAACUUCCCCAUUUUCUUCCCAAAAGUGGAGACGAAUGAAAGAAGACGUUUCGAAUGCUUUUUUUACUGGAGACAGCGGAUGUAGACAAAGCCUCAUGAGGGGCUGCCUUGCUACUGACUGUCACUUUUAAUCUCAGGUACUGACCGGUAGCCGCGUAGUUGAAGUGGAGGUUUGGGUUGCUAUGGUAACUUAUCCAAGCAAAUUCCCAUACAGGAGAACGGCCCUCGCCACUGUCACUUAUUUCUAUGACAUGCUUGACUAAGAGUUUCAGCCAUCAUGAAGAAAAGUAAGCAGCAGAAAGCCACUGGAGGGAAGGUGUUUUUGUCUCCACCACGCUCCCUAAGCCCAGGCUCCUCUCUGUCCAAUCCAAGGACAAGGACUCCUUCUCCUGUUAGUUUCCCUAAAGCAAUUGGUCAACAAGUGACUUUCACAGAGGAGAGUGAUGCCGGUGGCUCUGAAUUACAGGAAAAUAAUGGUGAAAAGCCAAAUCCUGGCAUUCGUUAUUUAACUGAAGGACUGAUAAAGAAAAUAUCUCAGCAGGAGAAUCUAGCACUGGUGCAGUCUUUAAACCUCUCAUUGGCAAAGAGUGGAGGCAAGAAGCUCAAGUUUAUUGAAAACUUGGAGAAGCUAGAAAAACUGCAAAUCUUGCACCUAAGCAACAACAUGAUUCAGAAAAUCGAAAAACUGGAUAAACAGCUGAAAUUGAAAGAGCUCCAUCUGUCCAACAACCAAAUCAGAAAAAUUGAAGGCCUGGAGCACAUGACACAACUGAAGCAUCUAAACCUUUCUGGAAAUGAAAUUGAGAAUGUACCAGCUUGGGUUGGGAAGAAAUUACGAUCUCUGCAGACCUUGAACCUUAGGCAGAACAGAAUCUCUUCACUAUAUGAUAUCACUAAGCUAAAACCACUGAAAGACCUCACAAAACUAGUCUUGGCAGAAAAUCCUCUAGCCACUUUACCACAUUACAGGCUGUUUGUGGUGUUCCACCUGCGAUCAGUGGAAUUUCUGGACGAGCAACCGGUCACUGAAGAGGAGCGACAAUUGGCACAUGAACGCUUUCAUUUAGAGGAGGUGGAGCGUCUGGAGCAGGAGCUUGAGAAACGGCUUCAGGAGAUCAAGAACUUACAGGAAGAGCAGUCUAUGGCCUUGGAGGAACUGAACCACCAAGAAGAAAUGAACAAAUCCUUGCAAAAUAAAGCUGAGGAACAGAAACAGAUGCAGAUGGAGCUUGAAAGAGAGAUGGGAACCAAGAAUGAGUUGCUACUGUCUUGGUUAUAUAUAGUCCCCCACCUGUCCAGUCUUUGUCCCUCAAUGCAGCUGAAACAGAAGACUGCUGAGCUUACCCGUGCUUGUCAGAAGCAGUAUGAACUUGAGCAGGAGCUAGCCUUUUACAAAAUCGAUGCCAAGUUUGAACCGUUCCCUUUCGUUCCGAAUGAGGAAAUGGCUCUUGAGAAUUCCCCAGAUGAAAGCCCCUACAUUGGGAAAGCAAAGUACAAAAGAAAUGCAUAUGCCAGAGAGAGCUAUGUUCCUGAAGAGAACCCAAAGCAGGCAACAGCAGGAAAGCUGCAAAUGAACUUACCAGCUGAAGCACAAUCCAGACUUCAGGACACACUUGAUGCUCAGAAGUUAGCUGAGGAGCGUUUAAUGCAACUUCAAAAGGAUAUUGGAGAUGCUGAACAGCAGAUCCUAAGAGCUACAGAAGAAUUGAGGCAACUAGAAGAGACAGUGUCUCAGAAACGGAUAUCAGAGGCAGAAAAGGAGCACCUUCGUCAGCAACUGCACAGAAAGAUUCAGCUGUUAACUAAGUUGCGUCAGGAAGCUGAAGAUUUGGAGCAUCAGAUGGAGCGCCAGAGAGCAGAAAUGACGAAAAAGCAAGCAGAGCUGGAUGAGUUGCAGAAAACUUUAAACUCUCUUGAUCCUAGUGACCCCCGACAUGCUCAUGUGAAAGCUCAAAUGGUAAAUAAAAGUCAGCAGUUGGACAUGAUGAGUAAAGAAUAUCGAGAGCUCGAGAACCGGCUGGAUGAAAUGCUGGCCAGAAUUGCCAAGGAGACCGAGGAGAUCAAGGACCUGGAGCAGCAGCUAACAGAGGGCCAGAUAGCAGCAAAUGAAGCUUUGAAGAGGGACUUGGAAGGAAUCAUUGCGGGGUUGCAAGAGUACCUUAAAAGUGUGAAGAAUCAGGCAAGACAGACCAGUGAAGAGUGUCGUCAGCUGAAAAAAGAGAGGGAGGCCUUGCUCACUAGGCUCGCCAAACUAGAAGAUGAAAGGAACCAAAUGGAGGUUGUUGCUUUGGAUGCAGACAGCAUGAGACAGGAGCUAUUGGACCUACGACGUACUUCUCAGCAGCUACAGAAGGAAAAUGAGCAACUGAAGAAGGCCCAAGGUGACCUGAGCGCCUAUGAGGCAGAACUUGAAGUUCAGCUACAGGAACGGGAUACAGAAGCUAACCAAUUGAAAGAUGAGUUGGCAAGACAGCGGCGUCUUAGCCAGAUGGAACAUUCGGCUCUACAAGCAGAACUAAACAAGGAGAGGCAGGCUUUGGAGAAUGCCAGGGCUCAGGCACAGCAGGCCACAGAACGAGAACAGGACAACAAGGAACUGCAGGCACAGCUCAAGAAAUUUCAGGUGGAAAACUCUUCAUUAAAGGAGAAACUUGAAGAGCUUCAGAACCAAAUGGAGAAAAUGAAGGACACCAUGCUUGAACCUGAAGAAGUGACAACUAGAAUAGAGGAGUUACGAAGAAAAGUACAAACAGGAGUUGGAGAAAUAAGACCAUACAGCUCAAAGGACAUUAUUGGAAAGAGCCUAUCUGAGCUGCAGCAAGAGCUGGAAAAGGCCCUGUCCCGUUCGGAAAAAGAAAAGGAUGAUGCUGUGCGACGGCAGAACAAGCUGACACAGGAGAUGGCCACACUUCGGGAGAAGAUGCGUAAAGCACAGGACAACUACAAGGCAGCCUGCGAUGAAGCAGCAGAAGCUAAGAUUGAAGCAGAGAAACAAGAAGCUGAAAUGCGAAUCCUACAGCUGGAGAAGGAAGUAGACCAUUUGCAAGAGAAGCUGCACAGUAUGGAAAACUUGCAGGCUUUGACUGACCAGCAAUUACAGAAUAUUGAAGAUGAGCGAGACAAGCUACAAGAGGAACUGGAGCACCAGGACAAAAAGAUGAAAUUGGAAGACUCUAAGACCCAGAAGAAGCUGAUGGGACUAGACCAAGAACUGAGUGAAUUGAAAAAGUCCAUGUUAACAGUAGACAAGGCUGCAGCCAGACAACUUUCCAACACAAAGAGGCAAUUAAAAUCACUUCAUGGGACAAUUCAUAAACUCAAUCAGGAGAGAGCAGAGGAGAUGAAUGAGCUGGAAGCUUUUAGAGCUCAGGCCGAGCAGGCAGCCCGUGACUUAAACAGAGCUGAUGAGGAGAUCAGUCUGCUUCAGCGGCUGCUCCAGGACAGAGAGAAGCAGAUGCUAGAACAGGCGAGUCACACCAAUGAUCGAACAUUAGCUGAUACUUUCCAGCAGCUUGAAUUGGAAAAGCUGAGCAAGACUUUAGACAGACAACGAGCAGAAAUUGAACGCCUCCGUGACCUCCUGGGAAGAGCCAGGGACGAUAACCCUGGGUAUAUGGAAAGGCUGAUGGAUGAAAUCCGAGCCCUCAGAAAUACAGUGGCCCAGCAGAAUGAUUUCAUGUCCAAUGUCUAUGACCCUGUUAGCAAGAAGGGCUACUGGUGCUAUGUGCCCUCUCCACCCAAUCCCCCUAGUAUUGGAUCUCAAGGCACCAGAGACUCUGGCCUUGGGUCUCAGAAUCCAGCCUCUCCUAGCAGAGGAUGCAGUCAUGGUCAGCAUGGAAGAAGAGAAGCAGAUGAUCCUGAAGGUGGCUACUGGAUUUACUCUCCCAAUCGAAACCAUAGAGUACCAGGACACAGAGGUGGAAACUACAAUGUGUCUGACAGCAGCAGAGGUAGUGGUGAACCAGGGCAUAUUUUUAUCCCACCUCCAGGCUCUGUUAUCUACACAUUACUCCCCGAUGGAUCACCAGUACCUCAGGGCACCGUGGUCUAUGGACCUCCUCCCUCUUACAUUGGCAUGCCAGUGAGCCCAGGAACAGUAGUUUAUGGUCCACCCCCAUCAGGGGUUCACUUGGUAUAUGGUCCUCCGCCAGCGAACUUCACAGUUCCCCUCACACCAGUUGGAGUUCUACACUGUAAUGUACCAGAUCAUCAUGAGCUGGAAAAUAAGCUUUCUCAGCUCAUGAAAGAUCGAAAGAGGUUGCAGAAGGAGUCUAAACGCCCAGAGACAGUAGAUGGACUCCACGGGGAGGUUUGGGCAUUGAAAGAGGAACGCAAUAUGCUGGAGAAAGAGACAGAGGAAUUGCACAGAGCCAUGCAGAGACGCUACAGACGAAAGGAUUUUCUUGAGGGAACAAUUGGCUCUUUGGUCAGCGAACUAGAAAUGGAGAAAUCUCUGAAGCAACAAGAUGACGUUGCUAAUGAGAUUGAAUGUCUUGAAAAAACUCUACUGAAACGAAGGGCUGAGCUAAGAGAGGCAGAUCGCCUACUUACAGAAGCUGAAAGUGAACUUAAAACAACCCGUGAAAGAACUGAGGACUUCAUCCAGCAGUAUAGUAAUGCUAAGAGACGCCUGGCAGAUACAGAGAAAGAAAGCGAGGAACUGGAGAAGCGGGCACAGGACACUGCUACUCAGCUUGUGAAGGCCAGCAAAGAGCUGAGGAUAUUAGAGGGUGAUCUGGAAGAGCUGAAACAGUACAGAAGUGAACAGGAGAGUGUCCUUCAGGAAAUCAACACAGUUGUCUCUGCCAGGGACUUGGAGUUUCAAACUUUGGGUCAGAAAAUUGAGAAUAUGACUGAAAUUUUGGAGAAGUUACAGGAAGACUUAAAGAAGGUAGAAACCAGGAGGACACAACAGCUAGAAGUGCUAAAAGAAGUUGAAAACCUAAUCUCUACAAGAAGAUGUGAGCUUGAAAAGUUAAACAGCGAGGUUGAACAACAGCAAGAAGAAUUAAUGGUGUUGGACAAGAGACUAGGCCAGAAAAAGGAAGAGGGACGCAUCCUGCAAGUGAAUGUGGAACAGAGAAGGGCAGGUCUGGUAGGAGUGCUCCGUGAGGGCGAAGAGGAGGUGGCUGAGCUGCAUCACCAAAUAAAGGAGCUGAAGGUGGAACUGGAGCAUCUGUCGGCACAAAAAGGAGAACUGAAUGCUCAGCUCAGUGAGAAAAGGGCUCAGCUUACCCUGCUCAAACAGGAGAUGCUCAAGGAGGAGGAGGCUCUCCAGAACAUGGUGUCCCAGAUCAACAAACAUAAAACAGAGCUGAAGCAUGUGCUGGAAAUGUUACAGCUAGAAAACAAUGAACUACAGGGCAUCCGGGUUCAACACGAUCAGAAAGUGAAUGAGCUAGAGAAGAGUCAGGUGGCAGUACUCCAGGAAAAGGUGGAGCUUCAAGCCUUGCAGCAGGCAACACAGCGCCAGAGAGCAGAAGGUGAAAGACAGAGGCAGCUGAUAGAGAAGGACAGGCAAAAGCUAGAAGAGCUUAGACUUCAGGCCCACUCUCUGCAAGAAAGUGUGGCCACUUUAAGCAAAGAAAAGAGCCUCCUGGAAGAAACGUGCCAAAGCUUAAACAACAAGCUUGCUCAAACUAAGCGUGCUGUUGCAACAGCAGAAGAAAACAACAGAACAGAACAAUGCAAACUAGAAAAGCUGGAGUCUGAACUGACCCGUAUGAGGCAGGAGAUUACUCAGGGAAACAACCAAAAGCAAGAAUUCAGCCACGAAGCCAGUGCUGUCCAGCAGCAGAUAAAAGAAAAAUCGGAAGAGUUGAUAUUACUACAAGAUGACCUCCGUGACACAAAAGAGCAGAUACAUCGGGUUGAAGAGGACUUACAAGAUGCCAUCCGGAAGCGGAAUGACCUUCUGUCAGAGCAUGCCACCCUCAAGGAGUCAAUCACCCAUAGCUCUCUGAAAUACCAAGAGCACCAGCAUGAGCAGGAGAAGUUGGAGCAAGAAUUGGAGCAGCUCCAUUGGAAGAUCAGUGACAAGAAAGCCAGGAUGGCACAGCAAGAAAAGUGUUUACAGGCCCUGCAGACAGAGAUUGAGGAGGAACAGCACGCAAAGCAACAGAAGAUCAAAGUGCUACAAGAGCAACUCCAUUCUGUGGAAGAAACUCUUGCAGGCAAGCAAAGCCAACUGGAGGAGGUGGUUGCCCAAUUGGCUGACCUGGAAGCCCAGGGCAGGAGGCUCCACUAUGAUCAGGACCAGUGUGCUCAGCUGGAGAAGAAGAUGACUGAAAUCAGGCAACAGCUGGAUGAAAGAGAGGAAAAAUUCCAGAUAGGCACUCGCAACUCUCAACUGCUGCGUGAGGAACUUGGCACCUACCAAAAUGAAGUAGCAAAGCUGCAAGAACAGCUGGGCACAGAACGACGGAUGACUGAAAAGAAGAUGAAGGCAUUGCAGGCUGAGAGGGACUCAGACAGGGCACGAUUAGAAAGUUCUCUCAAAAUACUGCAACAGGAAAAGAAUCAAGUGCAUCGAAGCCUAGCUUUGGCUGAGCAGGCGGCCUAUGACAAUCACGAGAGAUCCCGAACACUGCAGAAGGAACUCGGGGCGCUCCGGCACAAGUACUUCCGUCUGAAGGAGAAGUUUCAGAGCCAGGAGGAGAAGAUCCAGCGAAUGGAGACUAGGAAUGCCAUGGUGGUGUUUAAUGGUGACCCAGAAAAGGUGGAGCCGGAGUCAGAUAUGGAGUCUUCAGAGCAUGGCAGCCAAAAGGAGAACAGCCAUCCUUUCUUGGAAAUUGGGAGACGAGCUGAGAGCAGAGGAGUGCUGGGCCUGUUUAACUUGGAGGAGGAGCAGUGGCGAGGUGAGGCGCUGAGGGAACGACUACAACAGCAAGAGGAUCACUUGAAGGCCCAGCUCCGUAAGCGCAUGUGGACACAAGAGGAGGCCAUGCAUCAACGCAGGCAACAGACAGAGGGAAGCCUGAUCAGCCUGCGCAGGAAAGUGGAAGCACUCGACAACCUGGUCAGCGGCGGGAACAGUGGCUCCUCAGCUGAGCCUUACCCACCCCUCUCCAGGGAUGGCACCGUGCAGAAGCGCAGCAAGCUUCUCAGUUCGGACGGCCAAAGACCCCACGAUGUGAGAACACGUGACGCCAGCAGUGAGAGCCUGGAUGUGCCGUCCAGUCCUGACCAAGACACAGGGAAAAGUCAGCACCUCAUCACACAGUGGAGCUGAAGUCGUGUUACGCAAAACCCAAAGGGACGCCGGUCCGCUACCUCACGAGCUCGUCUGCCGCACAGAACUCCACUUGCCAGACAUCAUUAGCAUGAAGCAGACAGAUAAAGAAGAUACAGUCAGCUCCAGAAGUCUUUGGACAGUGACCCCCAAUGUACACCACCACAAUAAUCAAGAUGGGAUUCAACUGUAGACUUUCAGCUUUCAUUUAAGGGGUUUUCCAAAAAAUAUCAUUUGAACCGUUGAGGAAUGACGGCCAUUUUUCUGCAUAGCCAGACUCCAUUCCCAUGAGCUCAAACGUAUUUGGACAAACUUAACAUCAUCCUAAAUAUGCUCAUCAGUUUCGAUAUUUGGUUGAAAGUCCUUUGCAGUCAACGACUGCCUGAAGUCUGUCACCCAUGGACAUCUCCAACUGCUGGGUUUCCACCCCCAGUGAUGCUUUGCCAGGCCUUUACUGCUGCUG